CGUGAUUGUGAAGGUAUUGGUAAUAGUGUUAUCUGUUUUGCCUUAGUGUUGUAGUGGUAAUAAUGGUGAUUACUGGGGAUCCGUGCGUGGAUAGCAAUGUAGAACAGGUAUUGCGUCAUUAGGUAAAGGAAUAAGAUUAAGUCACGCACGUUUAUACUCGUAUUUUUGUCUGUUUUGAAAUGCAAAAACGGGAAGGUGGUGGAAGUGCAGACAUGAUUCAAUUUUUUGUCGAGCCUUUUAUAACAUCAAGGCGGCAAGGAAGAUGGUGAGUGAUAGUGGAAAGAAAUCAGUGAUUAUCAGGAAGGCUAGACAAUCCUGCAUCCUGUGGAAAACUGGAAAUCUUCAGCACUUCAUAACGACUAACAGGUGGUCAUUCUUGUCAGUGGCCUGCUGUACCAGAAUCAGCAUCUGGAAGCACCACAGUGGAAAGGACGUUACGUGUGGCAGUGACCUCGCCCGGAAUGACCUCGCGUGGCCUUCCUGUGAUCCCCCGGGGCUGAAUGACUACCGUGACCUGCCGCCUUGCCAAGGACGUCACGUGACUGGCAUCGAGCCGCAGCACGACACCGUGCUAAGCAAUCCCGUCACACCAAUGGAAAUGACAAUUUUCCCUGCACCCAGAUGUCUUGACAGAGAGAGAGAGAGAGAGAGAGAGAGAGAGAGAGAGAGAGAGAGAGAGAGAGAGAGAGAGAGAGAGAGAGAGAGAGAGAGAGAGAGAGAGAGAGAGAGAGA
This is a long non-coding RNA of Portunus trituberculatus (swimming crab), 732 nucleotides long. RefSeq lists it as uncharacterized. The transcript has 3 exons. NCBI's taxonomy places the organism in Eukaryota, Metazoa, Arthropoda, Malacostraca, Decapoda, Portunidae. The record is from RefSeq and is a predicted model, not a curated record.